AAAAAACAUACCCGCAGCAUGAAUUAAUUCAUGUCAGGACCAUUUUACCCUUCUCCUGCCUGCUGUUUUCCUCAAUUGUCCUUCCACCUGUUCGCUUCAUGUGGCACCGAGUGCCUAUAAUCCACUAUCCUACUGAGAGAGAGAUGGAGGUUUUGGCUCUGAACCCUUGCCGGUGCGGGCAGAAAGAGAGACAUAGAGGAAAGAGUUCUGGAUACCCGAUUUCAUUGAGCUUCAUUGAAUCAUGAUUUGGUGUAGUUGGGCUUGCAUCUUCAAGCUUCUUCAGAUACAAUCUGUGCUUCUGCUGACACACAGCAAAAGAGAGGAGACGAGAGGAGGAAAAAGGGGACGGGAAAAGUAUGCAAUUGUUUUUUCCCAGAAUCGCAAACAUUUGUGGGUAUUUGUAUAUUUUUUUCCUCGAGUAUUUGGAUUUGCUGUGUUUGCAUGGUUUUUAGGAUCAUUGAUUGUGUGAUAUUAAUGUCUGUGUUCAAGGUG
This is a long non-coding RNA of Rosa chinensis, 492 nucleotides long. RefSeq lists it as uncharacterized. The record is from RefSeq and is a predicted model, not a curated record. The transcript is spliced from 2 exons. Lineage: Eukaryota; Viridiplantae; Streptophyta; Magnoliopsida; Rosales; Rosaceae.